This 497-nucleotide ribosomal RNA is filed under the name uncultured bacterium. Its description in RNAcentral is "partial 16S ribosomal RNA". It matches the Rfam family "Bacterial small subunit ribosomal RNA", at positions 28 to 507 of the family's 1533-position model. The record is from RNAcentral.
GAUGAACGCUGGAGGCGUGCCUAAUACAUGCAAGUCGAGCGAACGGACGAGAAGCUUGCUUCUCUGAUGUUAGCGGCGGACGGGUGAGUAACACGUGGAUAACCUACCUAUAAGACUGGGAUAACUUCGGGAAACCGGAGCUAAUACCGGAUAAUAUUUCGAACCGCAUGGUUCAAAAGUGAAAGACGGUCUUGCUGUCACUUAUAGAUGGAUCCGCGCUGCAUUAGCUAGUUGGUAAGGUAACGGCUUACCAAGGCAACGAUGCAUAGCCGACCUGAGAGGGUGAUCGGCCACACUGGAACUGAGACACGGUCCAGACUCCUACGGGAGGCAGCAGUAGGGAAUCUUCCGCAAUGGGCGAAAGCCUGACGGAGCAACGCCGCGUGAGUGAUGAAGGUCUUCGGAUCGUAAAACUCUGUUAUUAGGGAAGAACAUAUGUGUAAGUAACUGUGCACAUCUUGACGGUACCUAAUCAGAAAGCCACGGCUAACUACGUG